This 472-nucleotide ribosomal RNA is filed under the name uncultured bacterium. Its description in RNAcentral is "partial 16S ribosomal RNA". It matches the Rfam family "Bacterial small subunit ribosomal RNA", at positions 28 to 507 of the family's 1533-position model. The record is from RNAcentral.
GACGAACGCUGGCGGCGUGCUUAACACAUGCCAGUCGAACGCUGAAGCUUGGAGCUUGCACUGGGUGGAUGAGUGGCGAACGGGUGAGUAAUACGUGAGUAACCUGCCCUUGACUCUGGGAUAAGCCUGGGAAACUGGGUCUAAUACUGGAUACGACAUGUCACCGCAUGGUGGUGUGUGGAAAGGGUUUUACUGGUUUUGGAUGGGCUCACGGCCUAUCAGCUUGUUGGUGGGGUAAUGGCUCACCAAGGCGACGACGGGUAGCCGGCCUGAGAGGGUGACCGGCCACACUGGGACUGAGACACGGCCCAGACUCCUACGGGAGGCAGCAGUGGGGAAUAUUGCACAAUGGGCGGAAGCCUGAUGCAGCGACGCCGCGUGAGGGAUGACGGCCUUCGGGUUGUAAACCUCUUUCAGCACGGAAGAAGCGAAAGUGACGGUACGUGCAGAAGAAGCGCCGGCUAACUACGUG